AUCCACCCGCCUCGGACUCCCAAAGUGCUGGGAUUACAGGUGUGAGCCACCGCACCUGGCCUGAAUAUAAAGACUCAUUUUAAAUUAUACUAGUUGAACCUUUAUACUACAAUGUAUCCUGGCACUUAUUUUUUUUAAACCAUUAUCAGAUAUUUCAUGUUCUACUAGUAAAGGGAAUUCGCAUUUUCAAUGUCCUGUCUGCAUUCCUCCUAGCCUCUCUCUGCUCAGGUUUUGGAAAAUAGAUCUUUCAAAUGCAAUUGCAGUAUCCAAGGAAAUUCCUCCCACCCAUGCCACCAGUGCUCAUCCUGUGGGCACCCCACAGUCAGCAGUUUAAGACCAUUCUGGAUGAAUGCAAAUGCUUGAUUCAAUUUUCCCAAAUCCCAAUCAACUAGCUACAGUUUUUAUUGUAUGCAAUCUUCCCAACAUUGCAGUAAAGCAGUCUAGAUGGCUGGGGAAAGGUAAAAGAACCCCGGUUGUGAUUAUUUUUUUCUAACAAAAUGGAAUUAAAAGAUGAGAAAACCUCGUAGUAUUUUAGUCUGGUACUUUUAGCAUCCCCAACUUUUAAGAUUAUAAAUUCACAAUAGUGAACACCCUAGUGACAACUUUUAAAUAAAAUACUGGAUAGCUGGGCGCAGUGGCUCACACCCGUAAUCCCAGCACUUUGGGAGGCCGAGGCGUGUAGAUCACUUGAGGUCAAGAGUUCAAGACCAACCUGGCCAACAUGGUAAAACCUCCUCUCUACUAUAAAUACAAAAAAUUAGCUGGGCGUGGUGGUGCAUGUCUGUAAUCCCAGCUAUUCGGGAGGCUGAGGCAGGAGAAUCACUUGAACCCAGGAGGCAGAGGUUAGAGUGAGCCGAGAUCGUGCCACUGCACUUCAGCCUGGGCAAUGGAGUGAGACUCUGUCUCAAAAAAAAUAAAAAAUAAAAAAUAAAAUACUGCAUAAUUACAUGCUAUAGUAAAUUAAUCAUACACUCAAAAUUUUAGCUUGGAUUUGUUUUGCAACUGAUUUGAUGCUGUCUGAAAAUCAAGAUCAAGCAGGUGAUGAAAACUAUACCUUUUGAACAUGCAUUAGGUAACCAGGGGGCAACAGAGUAGGGACUAAUAAGGCCAGCAACUCAGGGAAAUUAGCCUAUUCAUCUGAUAUAUUUGGCCUCCAUAAAACUGCCAUGGAUUCCAACUGUACUCAAAUAUAAUACAACUUCUUCAAUGCUGCUUUAUAAAUCUGACUGAAAACCUUAUUUAAGGAGUCAAGAUGCUGAACACCCUAACAAAAGCAAAAACAAAAUUACGGCCUAUGUGGUGUCACUGUUAUUACCACUCUUUACAAAGCACUAAGUACACAUAGGUGUUUGGCAUUGUCUCUGGAACUACAAAACUAUGGCCUAUGUGGUGUCACUGUUAUUCACUCUUUACAAAGCACUAAGUACACACAGGUGUUUGGCAUUGUCUCUGGAACUACAAAACUACGGCCUAUGUGGUGUCACUGUUAUUACCACUCUUUACAAAGCACUAAGCACACACAGGUGUUUGGCAUUGUCUCUGGAACUACAAAAUUAAACUUUUAGAAUCACAGCAUUUUACACCUGAGAGGAAUCUUAAAAGAUACUGAAUUUCGCUUCUCACUUUAUAGCUGAGAAGAGUGAGGGAAGGACGGACCAUGGGAGUCAGCAUUUUUCAAGCAUCCAGGCACGCUGGGCCUGGUAUUUCAAUUAGAGUUUCUCAUUCUCACAGUCUCAGGCAGGUUGCAUUAACCUCCACUUCACAGCUAAGUAAAUGCGGAUCUACCAGAUUGAAUAAUCUCCCCCAAAUAAAUUCACUAAUGAGGAACAGAAGGAAUCCAACGUCAGAGUUAGUGCUCUUCUCAGAGUAAUAAUCUGCAAAGUGUGGUCCUGGGACCAGCAGCUGGGGCAUUACCUGGACGCUUGUUAGAAAGGCAAAUUACCAGGCCCACCAUCCCCACCGCCAGACCUACUGAAUCAGAAACUCUAGGGUGGCCCCCAGCAAUCAAGUUUUUGGUUUUGUUUUUUUAACAGACAGGGUCUCACUUUGCUGCCCAGGCUGGACUGCAGUGGCCCAAUAAUAACUCACUGCAGCCUCGAACUCCUGGGUUCAAGUGAUCCUCCUGCCUCAGACUCCCAAGCAGCUCAGACUACAGGUAUGCACUACCAUGCCUGUUUGUUUUUUGUUUUUGUUUUUGUAGAGACAGGGGUCUUGCUGUAUUGCCCAGCCUGAUCUUGAACUCCUGGGCUCACGUGAUCCUCCUGCCUCAGUCUCCCAAAGCACUGGAAUUACAGGCAUGAGCCUGUGUUCUCCCCUCUCUUCCAAUAAUGUGUAUUCAACAAGGCCUUCAGGUGAUGCUGAUGCUGUCUGAAAGCCACUGCUCUCCAGCAUGUGGUCUCUGAAACUUUACUUAGGAGUAUGCAUAUUAAAAUAUAUAUAUAACUUAACACUAUGCUACUACAAAGGGCAAAAUAAUUCACUUUAUUGUACUUUAUUUUAGAAUAAUUAAGACAAGGAUAGGCUUCAAUGAAAUUUUGCUUUGAUGUUACAUGGUCUGACUGACACUGGAUUUCUUCAUAAGAAAAAUAAAUGUGAAAGCUAUUCCAAGUAAGCAAAUGGUGGCAAAAACAAUCUAAAGAAUUGGUUUUAGCCAGGCAUGGUGGCUGCCUCAUUUUUCAGCUUUGUUGUAGUUGAGAUUCUGAUGUUCACCUAACAAAGUCCCUGACAAAACAGACUUCCUUCAAUCCAGGUCAUAAUUUGAAACGUUAUACAAUAAUGAGAUUUAAGUGAUGAAUGGAAAGAAAAGAAGGAGACUGAAAAGAUAUCAGAAAUUUCUAUUUGUUUUUAGAUUCAGAAAAAUAUAAUUACAGGCCAACAUGGGUCUGACAGAGAGGAAGGACGUCAGCAGUUACUUGAAUGUAACCCCUUCCCAGCAUUUCCAAAGACCUGCAAUGUGCUCAUUGUGAUCCAAGGGCCUUGUUACCUAGUUUCUAGGUGAUCUACAGAAUUGAAACAACCCAGCACAACUUUAUUUCUUGAGAAGAUGAACCCUUAACUAUGAAGGUGCAGAAAGGAAGUCUUCAACUGCUCACUCACCAUGGCUACAGUAUUCAAAUGCAACAAUCAUUCAGAUAAAUAAAACCUGUGAGAAAAAGCAAACAGGUGGGCAAGCAAAGCGGCAGUGAUUCAUACUUUCAGUUAACCAAUUGAACAGUGGUGCUUCCUUCUGAAGAAGUUGUUCAUUGAUUUUUGUUUUUUAAGAAACAGAAAAGCAGCAGUAUAAUGAAAGAAGAUUGGCUGAAGAUCUAUCCAGCCUGUUAACUACGGCUUAGUACUUCCAGAAUCCUGAGUAACAACACAUGACCUGUGUGAUGAUAAGAGCACAGAACACAUGAACAACCAAAAGAUUCUAAGCUCAGCCUCUUUCCCUAUAGUAUUUACAGAAUAAUUUUAAAUUUCAGUUUCACCUCCACUACUUCAACGAUUUUACCCUGUAAAUUGCUGAAGGUCUUUGUGAACUGUCGAACAGCAAAAACAAAAAGUAGAGGUAUCUAGAUUAUAAACUUCAACCAAAAGUAGUCCUUGAGUAAUUAAAAUGUUACUUCAUUAUGUUCUUUUUAAAAGAAAAUUCCUCAGAAGUCCACAUUCUUUACAUGCCUUCACCCUG
RNAcentral lists this long non-coding RNA (3667 nucleotides) under Homo sapiens (human). RNAcentral describes it as "HSALNT0038232". Lineage: Eukaryota; Metazoa; Chordata; Mammalia; Primates; Hominidae. The record is from RNAcentral.